GACGAACGCUGGCGGCGUGCUUAACACAUGCAAGUCGAACGGAAAGGCCCUGCUUUUGUUGGGUGCUCGAGUGGCGAACGGGUGAGUAACACGUGAGUAACCUGCCCUUGACUUUGGUAUAACUUCAGGAAACUGGGGCUAAUACCGGAUAGGAGCUCCUGCUGCAUUGUGGUGGUUGGAAAGUUUCGGCGGUUGGGGAUGGACUCGCGGCUUAUCAGCUUGUUGGUGGGGUAGUGGCUUACCAAGGCUUUGACGGGUAGCCGGCCUGAGAGGGUGACCGGCAACAUUGGGACUGAGAUACGGCCCAGACUCCUACGGGAGGCAGCAGUGGGGAAUAUUGCAAAAUGGGCGGAAGCCUGAUGCAGCAACGCCGCGUGCGGGAUGACGGCCUUCGGGUUGUAAACCGCUUUCGCCUGUGACGAAGCGUGAGUGACGGUAAUGGGUAAAGAAGCACCGGCUAACUACGUG
Molecule: ribosomal RNA, 468 nt
Filed under: uncultured bacterium
Lineage: Bacteria
Description: partial 16S ribosomal RNA
Rfam family: Bacterial small subunit ribosomal RNA
Source: RNAcentral